Molecule: ribosomal RNA, 1269 nt
Filed under: Triticum aestivum (bread wheat)
Lineage: Eukaryota; Viridiplantae; Streptophyta; Magnoliopsida; Poales; Poaceae
Description: partial small subunit ribosomal RNA
Source: RNAcentral
UACCGCGGCGGUGGAUAGAGUUCGCACGUCUCGGUGUUUUAUCCUAAAUCCCCGCUUCCUCCGCGCAGCCUGACCCGUCGCCGCCGACGUAGUUCGAGGACACUACGUAGAUAGAGACAAUUCGUAGGUCAGCUUCGCGUAUCGGGCGGACGUGGUAGGCGCUCUCUCUACCGUUCGAGCAGUGGGCCCUUCGCCUGCGUGCUCGUCUAGCUCGGUUUCCCAACCUUCUCCUCCUCCACCGCACAGACCCACCUCUGAUACGGACUACUCUCCCCUCCGCAGGUCUGAGCUCUGCUCCUACAACUGUACUCCCAGCUACGCAUAACGCUUCAACGGAAGCAUCCCUUCCUUUGUAGUUAAGUCCGGGCUUGGAGCCAUGGCUCGAUGAGGCUGUGGAGGGCGUGCGCUGUGGGAGUCGGGGGAGCGAGUGGUCGGGGCGCGGCGGUCGGGGCCGGUUGGGGUCGAGGCCACUGGGGGUCGGGGGCGCGAGAAUCGGGGCCGCUGGGGGUAGGGAUAUGGUAGCAGCUAGGGCGCUUGGUAGAGGCGAGGUCCCCGCCGAGUGGUGGAGGAGGGCGGCAGGCCGCGGAGCUCGGAGGGAGGAAGACGGCAGUGGGGGUUCGGGGGCACUAAAGGACCUCCACGAGGCGAGCGACGGCGAGCUUGAACUUGAACGACGAGGAAGUAGGGGCGUUCUGGCGAGGAGGACGGUAGGAGCGGGUGCUCGAGCAACACGACGUGUACGAGGUUUGUUGGAGAAGAGACCAAAGCUGAGGGACAUUGUGAACAUGGCUACGUAGAAGAAGCGAUAGUCAAGUUCACUAGUUUUACGGGUUUAUGCCUCCGUUCUAUUAACUAUAACACAGUUCUCUACAAGUAGCCGGUCUCCUAUUCCGGGUUCGGGACCGCCUAUGUCCUGAACAAGUCAGUAGAGUAUUUGGUCCGUUCACCGAAUUAAAACAAAUACAGAAGAUGUUCCUACCAGAGUAUGGGACGGACGAAGGGGAGGAGUGGAGAUGGAGUAACACCAAGCAACGAUUCUUUUUCUUGCUGGCGCAUGUCAAGGGCAACCAACGGAACGACGGGACCCCGCGCUCGAGUAGGUGGUCCCCACAACCGUCGACAGGUUCACCUCGCAACUGCGGUCAUGUUCAUCUUAGCACCCAACGCCGGUGGUAGAAGUGGUUCGCGGCGUGUAGGCAGGUUCAGCUCGUGUGUGUGUCCCUCUUGUGUGGUCGGGGAAACGAAACGUGUAACGAACCAAUACGUACU